UACGUAGGUCCCGAGCGUUGUCCGGAUUUAUUGGGCGUAAAGCGAGCGCAGGUGGUUUAUUAAGUCUGGUGUAAAAGGCAGUGGCUCAGCCAUUGUAUGCAUUGGAAACUGGUAGACUUGAGUGCAGGAGAGGAGAGUGGAAUUCCAUGUGUAGCGGUGAAAUGCGUAGAUAUAUAGAGGAACACCGGUGGCGAAAGCGGCUCUCUGGCCUGUAACUGACACUGAGGCUCGAAAGCGUGGGGAGCAAACAGG
RNAcentral lists this ribosomal RNA (252 nucleotides) under uncultured bacterium. Its description in RNAcentral is "partial 16S ribosomal RNA". It matches the Rfam family "Bacterial small subunit ribosomal RNA", at positions 524 to 776 of the family's 1533-position model. The record is from RNAcentral.